AUACGGAGGAUCCGAGCGUUAUCCGGAUUUAUUGGGUUUAAAGGGUGCGCAGGCGGCCAUUUAAGUCAGCGGUUAAAUCGUGGGGCUCAACCCCAUUCUGCCGUUGAUACUGGGUGGCUUGAUUGCGGUCGAGGUUGGCGGAAUUCGUUGUGUGGCGGUGAAAUGCAUAGAUAUGACGAAGAACACCGAUUGCGUAGGCAGCUGACCAGACCGCAAAUGACGCUCAUGCACGAAAGUGCGGGGAUCGAACAGGAUUAGAUACCCUGGUAGUCCGCACAGUAAACGAUGAAUACUUGUUUUCGGCGAUAUAAUGUCGGAGGCAAAGCGAAAGCGAUAAGUAUUCCACCUGGGGAGUACGCCGGCAACGGUGAAACUCAAAUGAAUUGGCGGGG
This 392-nucleotide ribosomal RNA is filed under the name uncultured bacterium. RNAcentral describes it as "partial 16S ribosomal RNA". It matches the Rfam family "Bacterial small subunit ribosomal RNA", at positions 523 to 918 of the family's 1533-position model. The record is from RNAcentral.